AUUGAACGCUGGCGGCAGGCCUAACACAUGCAAGUCGAACGGCGUGGCGGACGGGUGAGUAAUGUCUGGGACUCUGCCUGGUAGGGGGGGAUAACGUCGGGACACGGGCGCUAAUACCGUAUCAUCUCAGAUGAGCAUAGGUGGGAUUAGCGAGUGGGUGGGGUAAAGGCUUACCAAGGCGACGACCCGUAGCUGGUCUGAGAGGAUGAUCAGCCACACUGGAACUGAGACACGGUCCAGACUCCUACGGGAGGCAGCAGUGGGGAAUAUUGGACAAUGGGCGAAAGCCUGAUCCAGCCAUGCCGCGUGUGUGAAGAAGGUCUUCGGAUUGUAAAGCACUUUAAGUUGGGAGGCGUUACCAACAGAAGAAGCACCGGCUAACUUCGUGCCAGCAGCCGCGGUAAUUC
Molecule: ribosomal RNA, 407 nt
Filed under: uncultured bacterium
Lineage: Bacteria
Description: partial 16S ribosomal RNA
Rfam family: Bacterial small subunit ribosomal RNA
Source: RNAcentral